GACGAACGCUGGCGGCGUGCUUAACACAUGCAAGUCGAACGGAAAGGCCCUGCUUUUGUGGGGUGCUCGAGUGGCGAACGGGUGAGUAGCACGUGAGUAACCUGCCCUUGACUUUGGGAUAACUUCAGGAAACUGGGGCUAAUACCGGAUAGGAGCUCCUGCUGCAUGGUGGGGGUUGGAAAGUUUCGGCGGUUGGGGAUGGACUCGCGGCUUAUCAGCUUGUUGGUGGGGUAGUGGCUUACCAAGGCUUUGACGGGUAGCCGGCCUGAGAGGGUGACCGGCCACAUUGGGACUGAGAUACGGCCCAGACUCCUACGGGAGGCAGCAGUGGGGAAUACUGCACAAUGGGCGGAAGCCUGAUGCAGCAACGCCGCGUGCGGGAUGACGGCCUUCGGGUUGUAAACCGCUUUCGCCUGUGACGAAGCGUGAGUGACGGUAAUGGGUAAAGAAGCACCGGCUAACUACGUG
RNAcentral lists this ribosomal RNA (468 nucleotides) under uncultured bacterium. RNAcentral describes it as "partial 16S ribosomal RNA". It matches the Rfam family "Bacterial small subunit ribosomal RNA", at positions 28 to 507 of the family's 1533-position model. The record is from RNAcentral.